Molecule: long non-coding RNA, 1301 nt
Organism: Nomascus leucogenys (northern white-cheeked gibbon)
Lineage: Eukaryota; Metazoa; Chordata; Mammalia; Primates; Hylobatidae
Exons: 8
Source: RefSeq, a predicted model, not a curated record
AAAGACCCGGAGAAGGCCGAGAUGUCCUCAAUUUCCUUCUUUUCUACUUACUCCUUUAAACAUCUCAGCAACUGCCUGUCAUGUCUCCAGAAUUACAUCGGCCUCCCUUGAAGUAUGAUGUCAAGUCAACUCCUCACUGUGUUCACACUUCUGAAAAUCUCCGUCCUUUUCCCUGCUGAGAUCAUUUGCUCCAGGAGAAGCUGGUUGCCAUGUCUUGAGGACAGUAAACCCUCUGGGGAGGUUCCCGUGGUAAGGAGCCAGGGGUCCUGGCAAUAGCCUCCGAGUGAGCCACCUUGAGAAUGGAUUGUCCAGCCCCAGUCAAGCUUUCAGAUGACUGUAGCCCCUGCCAAUGUCUUCACCACAACCUCAUGAGAUCCCAAGCUACAACCACUCAGAACUUCACCUUUUGAGAAGCACCAGGGACAGAUACCUGUGCCUGGCAGAAGCUGUCCAUGCCCCACUGAUACCCCACAGUACUUCCUGUUCUGCUCAGUACUCCUGCUUCUUUCUAUAAACAACUGUGAUUCUCCACCUGGGAGCUUCCUCUGGCCACAGGAGCCUGCUCACCUGAUUGGGACACCACAGCAGUACUGGACCAUUGAUUUGGGGGUCUAGCACUAGCUCUGUUUCUACACUCCUGCUGCUGCCUGACAGAGAUGCCUCUCUCAUUUUGCACUCCAAGGUAAAGGAAGAAGAGACUGGGUCACGGGAAUGCUUUAAUGUAGAAACCCUGAAUUCAUUCCACACAUCUGCCUUCUGGGGACACAGGUAAAUGAGGCUGAGUAGUGAAGCGGGAAGUUCCUGAAAAUGUGACAGCAAGCCCCUGUCCGCUGCCAGACCGAAGACAGGGAGGCGCUCAUUGUAGCUAGAACUUACAGUAUGUAGAAUAAAAGUCGUGAAAGCCAACAUCAGUAUUUGUUCCUGAUCUUGGAUGGAAAGCAUUGUCUUUCACUAGUAACUUGUGAAACUUGAGGCUGGUCUUUCAAAUAUUUUUCAGACUUUGCACUCUGGUAGACCAACUGAUGCCACCCAGACCCAUGACCCAUACCAAAGAACUGAUUCAGCUGGUUCUGUGACUCCCACCCAUGAAGUCACUCAGGACAUGAAGACAGUUUUGACACUCCUGUGAUUUCAUCCCUGACCAAAUCAAUCAGCAGUUCCCAUUCCUUAGCACCCCCCACACACCAAAUCAUCCUUAAAAACCCUCACCUCCAAAUUCAUGGGGAGGCAGAUUUGAGAGAUGUUGCCCAUCCUCCCCACUCAGCGGCCCUGCAAUUAUUAAAAUAUUAAAAUUCUUUCUU